Molecule: long non-coding RNA, 811 nt
Organism: Esox lucius (northern pike)
Lineage: Eukaryota; Metazoa; Chordata; Actinopteri; Esociformes; Esocidae
Source: Ensembl
CUCUACAUCUACAUCUAACACUUCGAAGCUCUACAUCUAACUACAAGCUUACUAGCUUGAUGGUUACUGCGAGUGGCUUUAAUUGUUUUAUAAUCAAGCAGGUAGAUUGUCUAGUGUGCGCUUCCUUGUAUACUGAAGCCUCGUUCACACCAGACACGGCAUAAAAUUACCGUACAGUAAUUUAACGCAAACAUCGCAGUCAAUCUACGCAAAAAACGCAAUCAAUCUUCCGCAUCUUCAUAACCAGUAUCGCAAAGAUGGAGGAGAGCCUCAUUUUGCUAGUGUCUAGCCACCCUUGUUUGUAUGACACUACCUCGGACGUUUACCGAGACCUAAAUGUUAAAAAUGCUGCGUGGAAAAGUGUAGCCAUGCAAGCAAAGAUGCCAGCCACAAGCUCUUCACAAGCUACCAGACCCAGACCCCAUACACGGAGGCAUCGGACAGGACAAGCCACCCCCAACAUGACGCCAUUUCAGCAGCGCCUCCUGACUGCCAUUGAGGUAGAAGCCACCAUUCCACCAAGACCCGAUGAUGAGGAUGAGCUUUUUGCUAAAACCAUCGUGCCCUCACUAAAAAGACUACCAACACAGAAGAAGGCUUAUGUAAAAAUGCAAAUUCUCCAGCUGCUUUAUGAUGCAGAAUUUAAUUAGAUUAUAUGAAAAUAUGACGUCCCAGGAUUUCCUUCUACAUGGUGCAACUGUUCCAGCCCUGCAUCACACCCACCCACACACACACACACACACAUAGAACCACAUCACAUAAACUCAUUCAAUAAAGUGCUUUUUUGGAAAUGCUUGUUUAUUGUUGAAAU